UGAUCCUAAGCAUCAGUUGCUAUGGAGACAUAGCCAGUCCGCUUAGAGAUUGGGUGAUUUCUUUAGUGAUUUCAUUUCUCAUUGCGCUCUGUCCAGAGAUGCCAGGAAGUUCAAAGAAAAUGUGCCCAGGGUGCAACACCCUAAUAAGUGUUGCAUACAAGGCUUGCCCACUUUGCAAACAACUGCAGCCAUAUAAAGCAAAAGUUGCAGCGAAGAGAUGCAACUUUCAAAAUAAAAAAAAUGAAUGGAAGGAGUCAGUAAAGAAAAACAACAACAGGACAGUUGUUCUCAAUAGCAGCCAUGUGUUGCUUGACAAACUUGCUGCCCUUGAUUUUUUCCCCAUACUACUUUUGGGUAAGAAGUGCAAAGGAAGUUUGGUGGCCGAUGUCAUCCUAGGAGGGGAUUAUAUUUUGGAUCCUGAUUUGCUUCAGAGGGUUAAACUUAUGUAUGAAGCUGUGCUAAAGAUUCAUUUUCAAAGACAGAAGAAGGCCACAAGUAGCACAGAAACUACUCACCCUCCCAAAGCCACUGCCACUGAGACCAACUUCACUCGAGAAGCCACUGAGACCACCGUCAUUCCAGAAGCCACUGAGACCACAGGCUCAUCAAAAGCCACAAGACCCCGGGGCCAGAAGGCAAAAAAAAGACAAAAUCCAGUCCAACAGAGGGUAGCCAGCAAGAUGAAGCCAAAAAAAAAAGUAUGAGUGUCCAGAAUGCUGUUGGAGAGUGAGGCAAAACAACUUUGACUACUCCAAGGUUUUGAAAAGAAGAGUGAGAGAGGGAACAGAGGAGGUCCUCAUUUGUUGGGUUCCAUGCAAGACCUGUGGGACCAAAUGGAAAGACUCCUGGGAGCCCUCCUCCCUUCUUGAAUAAUGAAUUAAACAUUUUUUUUAAUUUUGUAUUUUCUUUUAUAAUGAAUAAAAUAACUACAAACAUAAACAAAGUUAUUGGCUUGUUAUUCAUUGUCUAAAUUGCAUAUGCUAUAUAGAGUACAUACAGAUCUUUAGAAAUAACCUAAUUAAAAAUCCUCUGUUAAUUGUCAGUUUUGUAUGAAUCCUGUUAUAUCUACUUCUGUACGUCUGUUAUGUUCUCACCUGUGUUUGUCUGUGUAUGUAGUUAUAUAUGUACUGUCUAUAUAUUGGUUGUAAGCAGGAUUUCUUGUAACUUGGUGGAUGGGUAGGACAUGGUCCAGGAAGAAAGCUAUUAUAUUUUGUGGCAGUUUAAAUUUUAGAUUAAUUAAAUUUGAUGUAGUUGGAGACAUUUGCUCUACUUUAUGCCCUUAAUGUUCAGGUUUGUGUCCUUCUGUCCAGAUGACAUUGAGCGGAGAACAUCAUGAUGGUGCUGGUUCCACCCCAGGGCAGGAAGUAGAACAGUAGUUGGCAUGCCGUGUAGAUGUACUAUCGUUAUCUGCCUCUACUUCUAAAGCUAUACAGAUCCACUUUGGGAACUGGAAACCCUUAAAGCUCACCUUCACCUGGAAAUGAGAGAAUGGGUAUAUGGUCUCGGUGACUUGACAGAGGAUGCUACCUAUGGGCUCAACAGUCUCAUCAAUCGGAGGUCACUCAGAAGUCAACACAGACAGGCUGUAAAUGCAUACAGCAGUAUAGGCGCUUUCGAUAACAUUGAGGACAGGACCGGUGCACUGAAGAUGUGUACUAAACAAACCUGCCUUGCUUUUAUGUCAAAAAGCCCUUUUUAUGAAGUGAUUUACAGUAUAAGGGAAUUUUCAUCAGAAACCCAACUGUUGGAAAAUAGUGCACUUUGAUUUUUACAUUUCAAACCAAAGCUACUAAGUGUUUUCACCCAUAGCUUAGAGAUAAUAAAGGCCACUUAUCUUCAGGAAAGUAUUGACAAUAUAAAUAAUGGCACUUUGCUAAAAUGUUCAGAUUAUGUAUUGUUAUUAGAAACAAAGACAAAAUACUAACUAUGUGUAAAGGUCUUUUCCUUUCCAGCACUUUUAUACAAUGUCAAUUAUAUCAUAAAAGUUUUUUAAGAUAUAUUUACCUGCCUUCAUUCUUAAAUUCAAAACUCA
Molecule: long non-coding RNA, 2032 nt
Organism: Carassius carassius (crucian carp)
Lineage: Eukaryota; Metazoa; Chordata; Actinopteri; Cypriniformes; Cyprinidae
Exons: 11
Source: RefSeq, a predicted model, not a curated record